This 468-nucleotide ribosomal RNA is filed under the name uncultured bacterium. RNAcentral describes it as "partial 16S ribosomal RNA". It matches the Rfam family "Bacterial small subunit ribosomal RNA", at positions 28 to 507 of the family's 1533-position model. The record is from RNAcentral.
GACGAACGCUGGCGGCGUGCUUAACACAUGCAAGUCGAACGGUGAUGCUCCAGCUUGCUGGAGUGGAUCAGUGGCGAACGGGUGAGUAACACGUGAGCAACCUGCCCCAGACUCUGGAAUAAGCGCUGGAAACGGCGUCUAAUACUGGAUACGAAACUGGCCCGCAUGGGCAUGGUUUGGAAAGUUUUUCGGUUUGGGAUGGGCUCGCGGCCUAUCAGCUUGUUGGUGAGGUAAUGGCUCACCAAGGCGACGACGGGUAGCCGGCCUGAGAGGGCGACCGGCCACACUGGGACUGAGACACGGCGCAGACUCCUACGGGAGGCAGCAGUGGGGAAUAUUGCACAAUGGGCGAAAGCCUGAUGCAGCGACGCCGCGUGAGGGAUGACGGCCUUCGGGUUGUAAACCUCUUUCAGCAGGGAAGAAGCGAAAGUGACGGUACCUGCAGAAGAAGCACCGGCUAACUACGUG